AAUCUAACUGAUUCCAACUGUCAGUGAGUCUACUGUGUAACAGUCUGGAUCUCCUUCUGGAGAAGGCAAACAUCCGAAUCUGCUACCAGACUUCUCCCUGUCUUCUUUCCCCCACCUCCCUUCAUCACCUUAAGCUCAUUAAUUUGAAACAUCAGAUAUGUGUUCCUCAUGUUGGAGAAAGCUGGACGGAUGAGAAUCCUCCUCAAGUGGACCAGAGUUUUUAUUUUCAUUACCACGGUGGCUACUGAGCAGCUUUUUGGGGGAGUUGGACCUCUCUUGUUUAGCCCUGCAGUGAAGACGAAGAUCUGUACGCUCAACAAGUUUAAUCACUCCCUAAAGUGGUCAUCGGAGGCCUUCUCGUUGAGAGCAAGAGUUUCACCUUGACCAUAACUGUCUUCACAAAUCCUCCCCAAGUGGCCAGCUAUCACAGAGCUAUUCAAGUUACAGUGGAUGGGCCCCAGGAACCCAGAAGUCAUCAUUUUAAGACAUGACAUUAUACUUAAGAUCCCAAAUUUGUAAAAGUCCUGUGUUUCGGCAAGGCGUUUUGACCUGUUGGCAAGUGAGCCCUGAAGGACAACUGCCGUAGGUUUGCCAGCAGGAGAAGUCAGUGUAGCAGCGGCAGCAGCAACGGAAGUUACUGUGGCCGAGUUCAGAAAGUCCAGAAGCGGACCCUCCACUUUAUGGUCAACUAAUAUUCAACAAAGCAGGAAAGACUAUCCACUGGAAAAAAAGUCUCUUCAAUAAACGGUGCUGGGAAAAUUGGACAUCCACAUGCAGAAGAAUGAAACUGGACCAUUCUCUUACACCAGACACAAAGAUAAACUCAAAAUGGAUGAAAGAUCUAAAUGUGAGACAAGAUUCCAUCAAAAUCCUAGGGGAGAACACAGGCAACAGCCUUAAACAUUUUAAAGCACAAAAGUUCAUUAAAGACCAAGUCCUCUUUAGACUUCUGAAAGUAAAGUAUGCCAGACAGGAGCAGUCUUCCCUGCUGUGGUCCUAUGACCAGUCUUAUCCAUCCUACCUGAGCCAGAGGACAUUCCCGUCAAUUCACUCCACCACCCCGCUGUCUUCCACGGGGGGCAUGGGGUUUCCUGCCAUCACCGACGUGCCCAGGUGCAUUUCAGGUAAAGACCAUACUUUAACUACAGACCCACUCCUGCGCUGGGUGAGGCUGGGGUUGCAGGCUGGGCCGAGGCUCACGGUAACUCUCUAUCAGCGGCGUGUGGGCAAGGGGAUGACAGCUGGCACACCGCGUCCUCUGGAUUACGAGGUUAUCAAGUACUUGAACAUUUUAAGUGAAAAGACUGAAAGCCUGCCAGAGCUGGCAUCAUUUCCUUAAGAUGAAAGUUAAUGCCACCGAGCUUUCGUUCUGCUGAAUUGUGUCCCCUUCGGUGGGCGCGGUCUCCACCUUCUACUGAGGUGGGCCUUCUCCUGAGGGUCUUAGGCCAGGCCUUCCUCUGCUUGCGUUCCUUUCUCUUCUUGAUGUCGCCUGUAAGCCAGAUUACAGACUGAAGGCACGGCCUUCCAUUUCUAGAGCCUCUGAAGUCCCACACGUCCGAGCUGACUCGUUUGCGAGAGAACACGUGCGAACUUCAGAUCUGUAUCAGAAGCUAGUCAUUUUAAGUGUGCUGAGGCCUGGACAAAUCUUAAAAGAUUCUUCUGAGAAUCUCUGAGGAAUUUCAGUUUCUUUCUGUGCCCAUGGACCUCUCUGAUGCUUUCGUGAGGUCUCUUAGAGAGGUAAGAUACGUGAGUUAGAGAUAUAAGGGUAGGGUCAUAUAUGUUGUCUGCCUUUUGUUACUCUAAGAGAGGCCAAUGCAGGUUGUAUGGAUGAUUUUUUUCUACAAUUGUAGGAUUGGUUUUUUUUUUAAUGUGAGACAGAGAGUUAAGAACUGUAAUUUUUUUAAGGUUACAUGUUUUUUGUUUGUUUCAGCAAAUGGUCUUGAAUUUCUUCUUGCAAAAUAUUUAAAUACCAAAAAUUCCACUUAAUCAACUGCACAGGACUAUUAAAGAUGUCUCUUUUUAUGACUCUUAGUCCCUAAACUAUAUUUCCAAAGGUCAGCAGAAUAGGCGUUAGUCUAAUAAAUAAAGUGACUAAACAUUAUUUUACUAUUACCACAAACUCUAGAAAGUGCCAGUGGAAAAACCCCAAAUGAUCAGUCAAGGCCUAUCAGGAGGGGUUGCUUCCUUCAUGUGAUUUCAACCCCAGCUGUCUUUGAUGCAGUUCAUUUUUAAACAUCUCUUCUGACUGAGUUUCUAUCAAGUCCCCCAAGUCCGGUUUUGAAACCAGCAGCUUCAAUAAUGUGCCAAGUAUAUGUGGACAUUUAUUUUCACAGGACCACUCGUAACUCACAGGAGGGAGUGACGCCUUAAGAGAGGUUAAAAGGAAAGCUCCAGGAAUUAAUACUAAUAAACCAGAAAGUUAAAGCAACCAUAAGAAAGCACUAGAACAUCUACUUUUUGCUACAGAACCAUUCCUUUAUUAAGAGCCACCUGUUUGAUAGACACACCUCUGCCACAGCAGCCACAGGCAAGUAAUUAAGUUUAAUAGGAGCCACUCUUAUUUUGAAGAAGUUCUCUGUUGAAAUCCACAGAGGGGGCAGUUAUUAAAUUUAAUAGACCCUAAGCAAAGGCAAGCCCUGUGUUGCCAGUUGAAUGUUGUUCAGUUGUCUUCUCUGUGUUCUCUCGACUGUGAUUGGUUGCGUUAUUUUGGCAUAGAAUAUGCCAAAUGUUGAAAUGCAUCUGGCUUUCUCUAAAGAUAGGCUCUCUGCUGACACGAGCAGAUGAUGUUUUGAUCUUAUUGUUGGGGAGAAGGGGGUGGGUGUCCCAAGUUCAGGGCAUACCUGGACCUUGGCUUACUAUGGGUUUUGAGUUGCUGGUGCUGAGGACCCAAGAAAUAGCUUCCAUUCUGACCCAAUCAGUGGGGGUAGUUGGCCUGACUCACAGGAUUGACUGAACUUGGCUGUGUGAUAUUUGCUGUUACUUGUAGUUAGACGGGAGGUACAGAAGCUCAGCAGGAACCUGCCUACGUGGCCCGACUCUGAUUUUACACGUGGUUCCUGUCAGCUGUGUUCGUGAACAUUUGUUUUUUGAUACAUGUACAACCACCCACAUGUGAAGAAAAGAUUGAGUAAUGAAGGGGCUCCUGUGUACAGAAGGACGGCAAAACAUUGCUACAGAUUUUACUGAAAGAUUUGCUACAAUCCCUUUCAUUUCCUAAGAGAAAACUUGGGAGUUUGAACCUCGCCUCACUAAAAGUUAUUAAAGUUAAUUUUUUUCAUGAGACGGUGGCUUCUGUGGUUCACAUAGAAGGAGGUGGAGGCAAUUUGACUAAGGGAACCUGAGUUUUAGUUUCAUUGUCAGUGAAGAUUCUGUGCACUAUCCUCAGCUGUGUGUGUCCGUUCAUUCCUUGUGCCUGUGUGGGCCAAAGGGAACAAACUACCCAGAAAUGCCCGACAGCAUGUGUCAGAAUUUUGUGCAAGGAGUGAGAUGAUCUCUGCCCAGGGGUUUGCUGCUCUUGGGACUUUUAACAAAGUUAGCCUUAUCUGAUCCAUGCUAGUGGAGAAACCACUGAGUCAUUGGCUUCAAAAUGGUAGAAAGAUACUCUCUAUAUAUGUUUUUAAAUUGAUACUUCAUUUUUUUUAGAGGAGGUUUAAUUAAAAGCGUUUAGAGAAGUUUUAGAUUUGCAGAAAAAUUGAGCAUAAAGUAGAGCUGGGAUCUUAACUACCACCCCCCUCCACUCCUACCCUACUUGCCCGGCAUUUUGUCUUAUUAUUUACUUCUUGCAUUUGUGUCUUACAUGUGGUACAAUUGAUGAACUGAUAUAUUGAUAUAUUAUUCCUAACUGAAGUCCGUAGUUUAUGUGAGCAUUCACUCUCAGUGUUGUGCACUUCUCUGGGUUUUGUCAAAUGCAUAAUGCCAAGUAUCCACCACUACAAAGUCCUUCUGUAAUAUUUUAACAAUAAUUUCGUUGCCCUAAAAAUUCCCUGGACUGUACCUGUCGGUCCCUCCACCCCUGGCCCCAUAGCCCCCAGGCUGUGAUCUUUUACCUCUCUCAAUAUUUUUGCCUUUUUCAGAAUGUUGUACAAUUGGAAUCAUACAGUCUGUAGCCUUUUCAGCCCGGCUUCUUUCCCUUACUUUGCCAUGUGCAUUUAAGGUCCCUCUAUAUCUUUCCAUUGCUUUGUAGCUCACUUCUUUGUACCACUGGGGACUGUUCUAUUUUAAGGAUGUUAUUUUUUAAAACAUCAAAUCUGCCCUCCCUGUGCGUGGGAAUACCCCACCCACCCACCCCAGGGCCCAUUUCCUUUCGUCACUGACUGUCAAUGAUACCUUCUUUUUAAGAAAGCAUUUCAUGCAUUCACUCCUGGAGAAACACUUCCUCUGUCAGAGCAGUUGUCACAAAACAUGACUCAAUUCAUGGUUUCUGUACUUCUGGGCCAAUUUUUAAUAAAUAUUUUUCUUUGGUUUUGUCUAUAGACUGCUUACUAAACAGUACAUUUAGGUGAUGAUGCUUUUCAAUUCAAGUACAGAAGAGACCUAGCUUAAAAAUACCAGCCCAAUUUAUCUGGCCACUUUGCUGCCCUCCCAGGUAAAGGAUGCUCCUUUUCCCUAAGGAUGGCUGGCGUUCCAUAAGUACACUUACCACUUCCAUGCCAGCCGCCAACCCUUUUUGCCACUAUGUGUCUCUGCCUGUGUGUGUGUGUGUCUCUCUCAUUAAUAAAUAAAUAAAAUCUUGAUGAAAAAUACAAUGCAUGAUUUUGGUGCU
RNA transcript from Canis lupus familiaris (dog), 4762 nucleotides. RefSeq lists it as uncharacterized. The record is from RefSeq and is a predicted model, not a curated record. The transcript has 6 exons. Lineage: Eukaryota; Metazoa; Chordata; Mammalia; Carnivora; Canidae.